GGCGGCCGUUGGUUACCUUCAGUGUUGGUCAUUCUGUCACCGCGCGCGGCUGGAGUGCUAUUCUGUGGGACAUCAGCUGGUUCGGACGUUCUGCUAGAAUCCGUAGACGUUCGGUUCGGUUCGUUCGUUCAGCGCAUUCUGCGGGGGAAGAUAAGUGUUCUAGCGUUGCAAGUCGCGGUCGCGGGGUUCUAUCGCCCUUUAUCAAAUGUCGCUCGAGGAAGAACAUCGCUCAGUCUACGGUUGGACGUGAUCGCGAACGGCGGUGCCUUCUCUUCUUCAAGAACAAGGUUUUUUUCCGAAGUUCUCUGGAAAAACGGUGUGGAAAAUUUCUUCUUCGCGGUUCUGGAGUUGGCAACGAGCAAAAGAAGGAAGUGAACCAAAGUGAAUUGUUAAUGAGGUGUAAAUCGCGGUGGUCAGUUCGGUUGAUUGGUAUGUGUUAGGGUACCAUUUCUGCUGAUGCUCGUCAUCGGCAGGCACUCAGUCACCUCACCAUUCCGCGAGUUAUAUUUAUUGUGUGCCAAGUGAUUUGAUUGUUGCGAACGCGUGAAAAACGGAAGCCCUGAGUACCUAUUUAGGUGUCUAGCUGUUACUCGCUGCAUAGAACGCGAGUGUCCGAAAACGAAAACUGCGAAAACGCCAAAUUGAUAACAGUGCGAGAAGUGGACGGCGGC
Aedes aegypti (yellow fever mosquito) is the source of this 671-nucleotide long non-coding RNA. RefSeq lists it as uncharacterized. NCBI's taxonomy places the organism in Eukaryota, Metazoa, Arthropoda, Insecta, Diptera, Culicidae. The transcript has 2 exons. The record is from RefSeq and is a predicted model, not a curated record.